RNAcentral lists this long non-coding RNA (1445 nucleotides) under Homo sapiens (human). RNAcentral's name for it is "non-protein coding lnc-PRKD1-1:1". Lineage: Eukaryota; Metazoa; Chordata; Mammalia; Primates; Hominidae. The record is from RNAcentral.
GCUCGCUCGCUCUCUCCUGCUCCACCAUGAUAAGAUGUGCUUGCUUCCCCUUCACUUUCCGACUUGAUCGACCUUCAAGUACAUGCUCCAUUGAACUCUCUGAAUUCAGCUGGCUAAAAAAGAAGAAAGAGAAGAUGGAGAAGGCACAACCAUUCUAAACUGCCUUGACAUGGAGGUGACACCAGUUUUAUUGUAGGAAUAAGUGACAUGAUUGUAUCUAAUUGCAAGGGCCUGGGAAGCACAACUAACCAUGCACCAAAGAAGACAAGAACACAGGCAGCUUGGGUCAUGUGCUACAGCUUUCCUGUGAUCACCUUGCCUCUGAAAUAUCUGAAAAUGGCUUUCUCUUCAUUCAUUUCUACAUCUUCAUUCAUUCUCCCAGGUCUUGCAAUGGUUGUGCACAUAGGUAGAAGAGACUUGCCUUGUCUCAGAUGAGAUUUUGGACGUUUGAAUUAACACUGGAAUGAGUUAAGACUUUCGGGGACUGUCAGGAAGGCAUGAUUGUAUUUUGCAAUGUGAGAAGAAUAUGUAAUUUGAGAGGGACUAGGGACAGAAUGAUAUAGUUUGGAUCUGUAUCCCCACCCAAAUCAUAUGUUGAAUUGUAAUCCCCAAUAUUGGAGGUAGGGCCUGGUGGAAGGUGUUUUGAUCAUGGGAGUGGAUGCCUCAUGGCUUGGUGUUGUCUUUACAAUAGGGAGUUAGUUCUCAUGCGAUCUGGUUGUUUAAAAGUGUGUGGCAUCUGCCCCUCCACCUCUCUCCUUCUUCCUCCUGCUUUCACCAUGUGAUGUGCCUUCUCCCUCUUCACCUUCUGCAGUGAUUGUAAGCUUUAUGAGACAUCCCCAGAAGUUGAGCAGAUGCCAGCACCAUACUGCCUGUAAAGCCUACAGAACUGUGACCCAAUUAAACCUCUUUUCUUUAUAAAUUGCACAUAGGUAGAAGAGACUUGCCUUGUCUCAGAUGAGAUUUUGGACGUUUGAAUUAACACUGGAAUGAGUUAAGACUUUCGGGGACUGUCAGGAAGGCAUGAUUGUAUUUUGCAAUGUGAGAAGAAUAUGUAAUUUGAGAGGGACUAGGGACAGAAUGAUAUAGUUUGGAUCUGUAUCCCCACCCAAAUCAUAUGUUGAAUUGUAAUCCCCAAUAUUGGAGGUAGGGCCUGGUGGAAGGUGUUUUGAUCAUGGGAGUGGAUGCCUCAUGGCUUGGUGUUGUCUUUACAAUAGGGAGUUAGUUCUCAUGCGAUCUGGUUGUUUAAAAGUGUGUGGCAUCUGCCCCUCCACCUCUCUCCUUCUUCCUCCUGCUUUCACCAUGUGAUGUGCCUUCUCCCUCUUCACCUUCUGCAGUGAUUGUAAGCUUUAUGAGACAUCCCCAGAAGUUGAGCAGAUGCCAGCACCAUACUGCCUGUAAAGCCUACAGAACUGUGACCCAAUUAAACCUCUUUUCUUUAUAAAUUA